This 229-nucleotide ribosomal RNA is filed under the name uncultured bacterium. RNAcentral's name for it is "partial 16S ribosomal RNA". It matches the Rfam family "Bacterial small subunit ribosomal RNA", at positions 568 to 796 of the family's 1533-position model. The record is from RNAcentral.
UCCGUAGGCGGGCAAUUAAGUCAGAGGUGAAAUCCCACAGCUCAACUGUGGAACUGCCCUUGAUACUGGUUGUCUUGAGUUACAGUGAAGUAGAUAGAAUAUGUAGUGUAGCGGUGAAAUGCAUAGAUAUUACAUAGAAUACCGAUUGCGAAGGCAGUCUACUAACUGUAUACUGACGCUAAUGGACGAAAGCGUGGGGAGCGAACAGGAUUAGAUACCCUGGUAGUCC